This 482-nucleotide ribosomal RNA is filed under the name uncultured bacterium. RNAcentral's name for it is "bacterial SSU rRNA". It matches the Rfam family "Bacterial small subunit ribosomal RNA", at positions 30 to 507 of the family's 1533-position model. The record is from RNAcentral.
UUGAACGCUGGCGGCAUGCUUACACAUGCAAGUCGAACGGUAACAGGCCUUCGGGCGCUGACGAGUGGCGAACGGGUGAGUAAUGCAUCGGAACGUGCCCAGAGGUGGGGGAUAACGCAGCGAAAGUUGUGCUAAUACCGCAUAUUAUCUGAGGAUGAAAGCGGGGGACUCGCAAGAGCCUCGCGCGAUUGGAGCGGCCGAUAUCAGAUUAGGUAGUUGGUGGGGUAAAGGCUCACCAAGCCAACGAUCUGUAGCUGGUCUGAGAGGACGACCAGCCACACUGGAACUGAGACACGGUCCAGACUCCUACGGGAGGCAGCAGUGGGGAAUUUUGGACAAUGGACGCAAGUCUGAUCCAGCAAUGCCGCGUGCAGGAAGAAGGCCUUCGGGUUGUAAACUGCUUUUGUACGGAACGAAAAGGCUCUGGUUAAUACCUGGGGCUCAUGACGGUACCGUAAGAAUAAGCACCGGCUAACUACGUG